CCUACGGGAGGCAGCAGUGGGGAAUAUUGGACAAUGGGGGGAACCCUGAUCCAGCGACGCCGCGUGAGUGAAGAAGUAUUUCGGUAUGUAAAGCUCUAUCAGCAGGGAAGAAAGAAAUGACGGUACCUGACUAAGAAGCCUCGGCUAACUACGUGCCAGCAGCCGCGGUAAUACGUAGGGGGCAAGCGUUAUCCGGAUUUACUGGGUGUAAAGGGAGCGUAGACGGCGAUGCAAGUCUGAGGUGAAAGGCGGGGGCCCAACCCCCGGACUGCUUUGGAAACUGUAUGGCUGGAGUGCAGGAGAGGUAAGUGGAAUUCCUAGUGUAGCGGUGAAAUGCGUAGAUAUUAGGAGGAACACCAGUGGCGAAGGCGGCUUACUGAACUGUAACUGACGUUGAGGCUCGAAAGCGUGGGGAGCAAACAGGAUUAGAUACCCGGGUAGUC
Molecule: ribosomal RNA, 443 nt
Filed under: uncultured bacterium
Lineage: Bacteria
Description: partial 16S ribosomal RNA
Rfam family: Bacterial small subunit ribosomal RNA
Source: RNAcentral